RNAcentral lists this ribosomal RNA (1473 nucleotides) under Triticum aestivum (bread wheat). Its description in RNAcentral is "partial small subunit ribosomal RNA". The record is from RNAcentral. Lineage: Eukaryota; Viridiplantae; Streptophyta; Magnoliopsida; Poales; Poaceae.
AUGGCUGUCCAGGACGAGCCGCUGCACAUCCUCUUCUUCCCGUUCCUGGCGUCCGGCCACCUCAUCCCUAUCGCCGACAUGGCCGCGCUCUUCGCCGGCCGCGGCGUCAGGUGCAGCAUCCUCACCACGCCCGUCAACGCCGCCAUCAUCCGCUCUGCCGUCGGCUGCGCCAACGAUGCCUUCGCCGGCACCGGCUCCCCGACCAUCGACAUCGCGGUCGUGCCCUUCCCCGACGUCGGCCUCCCGCCGGGUGUGGAGAACUGCACGGCGCUCACGUCCCUAGACGACCGCGACAAGUUCUUCCAGGCCGCGCAGCUGCUCCGGGAGCCCUUCGACCGGUUCCUGGCCGACCACCGCACCGACGCGGUCGUGUCAGACAGCUUCUUCAAUUGGUCCGUGGACGCCGCCGCUGAGCGCGGCGUCCCGCGGAUCGCCUUCCUCGGCAGCAGCAUGUUCGCGCGCUCCUGCAGCGACAGCAUGCUGCGGCACAACCCGCUGGAGAACGCCCCCGACGACCCCGACGCCCUCGUUCUGCUGCCGGGGCUGCCGCACCGCAUCGAGCUGAGGCGGAGCCAGAUGAUGGACCCGGCAAAGAAGCCGUGGAACUGGGAGUUCUCCAAGAGCGUGAACGCCGCCGACCAGAGGAGCUUCGGCGAGGUGUUCAACAGCUUCCACGAGCUGGAGCCGGAUUACGUCGAGCACUUCCACAAGACGCUCGCCCGGCGCGUGUGGCUCGUCGGGCCGGUGGCGCUCGCCAGCAAGGACAUGGCUGUGAGAGGCACCGACGCGCCCUCGCCGGACGCGGACAGCUGCAUCCGGUGGCUUGACGCGAAGCCGGCCGGCUCGGUGGUGUACGUCUCCUUCGGCACACUGACCAAGUUCGCACCGGCGGAGCUGCACCAGCUCGCCCGCGCCCUCGACGUAUCAGGCGUGAACUUUGUGUGGGUGAUCGCCGCCGCCGAGGGCCAAGACUCUGCUGAGUGGAUGCCCGAAGGCUUCGCCGAGCUCAUAGCGCGCGGCGACCGCGGCUUCAUGGUCCGAGGCUGGGCGCCGCAGAUGCUGAUCCUGAGCUACCCCGCCCUCGGCGGGUUCAUGACGCACUGCGGCUGGAACUCAGUGCUGGAGGCCGUGACCGCCGGCGUUCCGAUGGUGACGUGGCCGCGGUACGAGGACCAGUUCAACAACGAGAAGCUUGUCGUGGAGCUGCUGAAGGUGGGCGUCAGCAUCGGGGCCAAGGAUAACGCGUCGGGCAUCGAGGCCCACGAGGUGAUCGCCGCCGAGGUGAUCGCCGAGUCCAUCCAGAGGUUGAUGGAGAGCGACGCCAUCCGGAAGAAGGCCAAGGACCUCGGCGCGAAGGCAAGGAGCGCGGUGGAGAAGGGCGGGUCUUCGUACGAUGACGUUGACCGGCUGAUGGACGUCCUGACGGCCCGCCGGAGCUCCGUCGAGGCUGGAGAAGACAUCCAAGCCAGCUGA